GAAGAUAGAACAGUUGCUUUGGUUGGACAGGAGGCCCUGUGGCUCAGCAAAGAGGGAUGAGAGCACAAAGAGCAAAGUGAACCCAGUGAUGGUUUGAUCCCAAGGUAGGGACUUGGUGCACUGUCUGAGCUGAGACCCGAAACAAACACUCAUUUUUUGCUUUCUAAAUUUCACGUGCCUUGCCUAAGAUUGCCAUCCUGUGGCAUGAUGAUCAGAGAGGCUCCACAAGGGGCUGAUUCACCCCAUCCCUCAUCAGUGACGACUUGUUCUUGACGGUGCCUUUCCCUGUGGUGCUGGUGGAAAGGAUCCUGCUCUUUUUGGGCUGUGUUUGGGUGGAAAUCCAUCUGAUCCAACCACAGCAUGAAGUGAGAAGCUGCCAGGGCGAGGACACCUCGAGCCCAGCUCUUCUGUGUAGCCUGGGUUUGCCACGGGUUUCAGCAAUGCUUAGCUCAGCCUCAUAUACAAAUGCAAUGUCUUCUCAGCAUGCUGAAUUUCACUCUGAGUUUACCUUGGUGCACUCCAGUAACUUUAUAAACUUUAUAAAUCCUGCAUAAACUUUAUAGACGGCAUAAACUUCAGGCACAGUCACUGCCUUCUCCUAAACUCUACAGGAUCUGCACCACUUCUUCUGAAUUGAAUUUCUCCCUCUUCACAACGUCUCACUCCACAUUUUCCUCCAGCCCAGGACGGAGGAAACUCAGCCUGCCUUCAGGGAGGAAGACCAAUUAUUCCUGCUUUUUAAAACCACUUCCUAACGAACUCAUAUGUUCUUCCAUUCUGCGGCUGGCUCUCAGAUUGCAUGAGAUUGUUUUCUCCCCCUUCUUGGGAUCUGCAAAUAAGCAGGAAUAGCUUAGAAGCCUCCAGCUUCCACUAGAGGACUGGCUGCCCCUGUGGUUAAGCUUUGGCCCAAGGAGGUCCUCCAGCUCUGCACUAGGAUUAUCUUAUGUACAACCAAGCCUGGCCCAAGCCAAUUACUGAAUUAUUUUUGUAUCUCGACAAAUACCAUUUGCUUCUGAAAUUGGAACCUUGAGGCACAACCUCGGCACCAAAACCUUUGUCAGAGUGGAGCAGGGCUGCCCCCAGGCUGCAGCCUCCCCGCUUCGAUCCGCCUGCUGCAUCCCAAGCUCUGCAGCUUGUCCUCGCCGGCGAGGGAUGCUUUGUGCCACUGAUGUGUAAGAGGUAGCACUGAACAUGUUGCUAGCUGUCCCCGGAGGAUAACUUUUCAUUAUUGAUGUGGAAAGUGGAAAAUAAAA
Molecule: long non-coding RNA, 1253 nt
Organism: Meleagris gallopavo (turkey)
Lineage: Eukaryota; Metazoa; Chordata; Aves; Galliformes; Phasianidae
Source: RefSeq, a predicted model, not a curated record